GUUAGUAACACGUGGAUAACCUACCUAUAAGACUGGGAUAACUUCGGGAAACCGGAGCUAAUACCGGAUAAUAUAUUGAACCGCAUGGUUCAAUAGUGAAAGACGGUUUUGCUGUCACUUAUAGAUGGAUCCGCGUCGCAUUAGCUAGUUGGUAAGGUAACUGCUUACCAAGGCAACGAUGCGUAGCCGACCUGAGAGGGUGAUCGGCCACACUGGAACUGAGACACGGUCCAG
RNAcentral lists this ribosomal RNA (234 nucleotides) under uncultured Staphylococcus sp. RNAcentral's name for it is "partial 16S ribosomal RNA". It matches the Rfam family "Bacterial small subunit ribosomal RNA", at positions 106 to 334 of the family's 1533-position model. The record is from RNAcentral. Lineage: Bacteria; Bacillati; Bacillota; Bacilli; Caryophanales; Staphylococcaceae.